AGCCGUCCAUGCUUACCAUGCAGUCGAGGGGCAGCGGGUUGAAAGCUUGCUUUCAAUGCCGGCGACCGGCGCACGGGUGCGUAACGCGUAUCAAACCUGCCUCAUACUCGGGGAUAGCCUUGCGAAAGUAAGAUUAAUACCCGAUGUUGUUGCUUUCUCGCAUGGGAGGGUAACCAAAGAUUUAUCGGUAUGAGAUGGUGAUGCGUCCGAUUAGGUAGUAGGCGGGGUAACGGCCCACCUAGCCUUCGAUCGGUAGGGGUUCUGAGAGGAAGGUCCCCCACACUGGAACUGAGACACGGUCCAGACUCCUACGGGAGGCAGCAGUGAGGAAUAUUGGUCAAUGGGCGAGAGCCUGAACCAGCCAAGUAGCGUGCAGGAUGACGGCCCUCCGGGUUGUAAACUGCUUUUAGUUGGGAAUAAAAAAAGGGACUUGUCCCUUCUUGUAUGUACCUUCAGAAAAAGGACCGGCUAAUUCCGUGCCAGCAGCCGCGGUAAUACGGAAGGUCCAGGCGUUAUCCGGAUUUAUUGGGUUUAAAGGGAGCGUAGGCGGAUUGUUAAGUCAGCGGUUAAAGGGUGUGGCUCAACCAUGCAUUGCCGUUGAAACUGGCGAUCUUGAGUGCAGACAGGGAUGCCGGAAUUCGUGGUGUAGCGGUGAAAUGCUUAGAUAUCACGAAGAACUCCGAUCGCGAAGGCAGGUGUCCGGGCUGCAACUGACGCUGAGGCUCGAAAGUGUGGGUAUCAAACAGGAUUAGAUACCCUGGUAGUCCACACAGUAAACGAUGUAUACUCGCGGUUUGCGAUAGACAGUAAGCCGCCAAGCGAAAGCAUUAAGUAUACCACCUGGGGAGUACGCCGGGCAACGGUGAAACUCAAAGGAAUUGACGGA
RNAcentral lists this ribosomal RNA (886 nucleotides) under uncultured bacterium. Its description in RNAcentral is "bacterial SSU rRNA". It matches the Rfam family "Bacterial small subunit ribosomal RNA", at positions 38 to 917 of the family's 1533-position model. The record is from RNAcentral.